This 73-nucleotide transfer RNA is filed under the name Candidatus Acetothermia bacterium. Its description in RNAcentral is "tRNA-Lys". It matches the Rfam family "tRNA". From Rfam's summary of the family: Transfer RNA (tRNA) molecules are approximately 80 nucleotides in length. Their secondary structure includes four short double-helical elements and three loops (D, anti-codon, and T loops). Further hydrogen bonds mediate the characteristic L-shaped molecular structure. tRNAs have two regions of fundamental functional importance: the anti-codon, which is responsible for specific mRNA codon recognition, and the 3' end, to which the tRNAs corresponding amino acid is attached (by aminoacyl-tRNA synthetases). tRNAs cope with the degeneracy of the genetic code in two manners: having more than one tRNA (with a specific anti-codon) for a particular amino acid; and 'wobble' base-pairing, i.e. permitting non-standard base-pairing at the 3rd anti-codon position. Lineage: Bacteria; Candidatus Bipolaricaulota. RNAcentral also lists the same sequence under 1 other name. The record is from RNAcentral.
GGGUCGUUAGCUCAGCUGGCAGAGCACCGGCCUUUUAAGCCGGGGGUCGCAGGUUCGAGCCCUGCACGACCCA